RNAcentral lists this long non-coding RNA (1222 nucleotides) under Fukomys damarensis (Damara mole-rat). RNAcentral's name for it is "lncRNA (ENSFDAG00000022247.1)". The record is from RNAcentral. Lineage: Eukaryota; Metazoa; Chordata; Mammalia; Rodentia; Bathyergidae.
CUGAUUUUUAUUUGUUUUCUGUGACUUGGAGCUAGUUUCCGACAGCUUUUAGCCAUGAUCUCUGUUGCUCAUGGAUGCUUCUGACAUGGUCAUUCUUGUAGUUCUCAGAUUAUUAAGAUUUAGUUUAAGCAAACUCAACUCAAGGUCAGCUAGAAGGUACUCAGUGUAAUUCUAAAGAGACUGAAAUUGUUUUAGGACAAACCCAUGACAGAGCAGCCUGGGUCUGAGGAAUAGCACAAAUCAAGGUGGCAGCUACUUUGGAAGGCAAGGAGGUGGCCCAGCCUGGGAGGUUAGGCAGGAGGAUGGCAGAUUUGAGCCCAGCCCAGACAACUUAAUGACUUAGACCAAGACACCUGGUCUCAAAAAAAAAAAAAAUAAAUAAAUAGGGAGGCAUUUUUUUGUAGCAUCAGUCUGUCAUUCAGUGUAAUCUGCGUUAUUCAUCCUUGCUAUAAAUUAUGACCAACAGCCAUAAGAGCUAGGCACAGGAGGAGGGCGCUUCAGAUGCCUGCAGUGACCACUGCCUGCUGCUUUGACUUGUGCAUGUUCUUCUUGUGCUCUGCAGGUGCACUAGUUCACAGGGUCUGGGAAGUGGCAUCUGUGACUUAUCUAAAAUUGGAAUCACGUCAUCGGCAGCAAGUGUGACAUGUGAAGGGAAGACCGGAUGGCAGGAUCGUGUGAAUGCUUACGGAAAUCAGAGCAACGACCAUUCAUCGAACGCUUGAUAAAGGGUUAGCCAAGCAUGAUCAUGAUGUCGAGGGCUUCUCCAUGAUCUCAAGUUCUCAAGUGAGCCCAGAUGCCAGCUGUCAUAUCUUCUUUCCCCCCAAACUUGCAGGAGCAAUCGACCACAUCUUCCCUUCAGGGUCGGACUUCACAUCCAGAGCCGAGUGUGUAACACUUCCUCUUUCAGUCUCACAGACCAAACCAAAUGUGGACCGUGGCAGCAGCCAAUCAUCUGCUCUCCCAGCUGCUUUCCUGUUCCCUCCAUGUGCAUGGAAGUUGUUGAUUUAACUUUUACUUAAAAUCAUUACAAAAAAAGAAAAUAAAAAAACAGCUAAAUUUUACCUCAGUUAGUCACAUUUUUUUCCUCGAAGUUUUUUCUGAAGGUUAUAUUCUUUUGGGAAAUAACUUUGAUAAAUUGAAUUUAUUGCUUUUGAAACAAAUCUUAAAUUUUUGGCAGAAUCAGUGGACUUUCAUUUAGUCUUCUCUCUCAUCUCUUGAUUUU